Dipodomys ordii (Ord's kangaroo rat) is the source of this 99-nucleotide small nuclear RNA. The record is from Ensembl. Lineage: Eukaryota; Metazoa; Chordata; Mammalia; Rodentia; Heteromyidae.
GUGCUUGCUUCGGCAGCACAUAUUGGAACGAUACAGAGAAGAUUAGCAUGGCCCCUGUGCAAGGAUGACAUGCAAAUUUGUGAAGCAUUCCAUAUUUUU